GGCUGUCACACAGCCGUGUGAUGCACACGGGCAACCCACACAGACGUGUGCCCUGAGCGUGUUAGGUGCAGGGUUUACACAGGCUAGCACUUGGGCCGAGACACGAGCGUGUGAGCCAAGUCAAUGAGUUAUACGGGUAAACACACGAGUGGACACACGAGUGUGUGACCCCAUGUAGAUGAAAAUUUCCAGUUUUGUCUAAACAAUUCUGAUUUGUUUCGCUUUAGUCACUGAUUGUUCGUAAG
RNAcentral lists this long non-coding RNA (245 nucleotides) under Gossypium barbadense (sea-island cotton). RNAcentral describes it as "long non-coding RNA (GBAR_LNC017037)". Lineage: Eukaryota; Viridiplantae; Streptophyta; Magnoliopsida; Malvales; Malvaceae. The record is from RNAcentral.